AGUGAACGCUGGCGGUAGGCCUAACACAUGCAAGUCGAACGGCAGCACAGGAGAGCUUGCUCUCUGGGUGGCGAGUGGCGGACGGGUGAGGAAUACAUCGGAAUCUACCUUUUCGUGGGGGAUAACGGAGGGAAACUUACGCUAAUACCGCAUACGACCUUCGGGUGAAAGCAGGGGACCUUCGGGCCUUGCGCGGAUAGAUGAGCCGAUGUCGGAUUAGCUAGUUGGCGGGGUAAAGGCCCACCAAGGCGACGAUCCGUAGCUGGUCUGAGAGGAUGAUCAGCCACACUGGAACUGAGACACGGUCCAGACUCCUACGGGAGGCAGCAGUGGGGAAUAUUGGACAAUGGGCGCAAGCCUGAUCCAGCCAUACCGCGUGGGUGAAGAAGGCCUUCGGGUUGUAAAGCCCUUUUGUUGGGAAAGAAAAGCAGCCAGUUAAUACCUGGUUGUUCUGACGGUACCCAAAGAAUAAGCACCGGCUAACUUCGUGCCAGCCGCCGCUGUAA
RNAcentral lists this ribosomal RNA (506 nucleotides) under uncultured bacterium. RNAcentral's name for it is "partial 16S ribosomal RNA". It matches the Rfam family "Bacterial small subunit ribosomal RNA", at positions 29 to 523 of the family's 1533-position model. The record is from RNAcentral.